GUCUACAGCCAUCUACCCUGAACAAGCCCGAUCCUGUCCAAUCUUGGAAGCUAAGCAGGGUCGGCCCUGUUUAGUACUUGAAUGGGAGACCACCUAGGAAGACCAGGUGGUGUAGGCG
This 118-nucleotide ribosomal RNA is filed under the name Pteropus alecto (black flying fox). The record is from RNAcentral. Lineage: Eukaryota; Metazoa; Chordata; Mammalia; Chiroptera; Pteropodidae.